GCAAAGGAAUGAACAAGGCCAUGCGAGUCAUUGUAGCAAUACAAGGCAGACGGCUCAGUAACGCGUAGUCAAUCUACCCUAUGGACGGGAAUAACCUCGGGAAACUGAGAAUAAUGCCCGAUAGAACAUUAUACCUGGAACGGUUUAUGUUUCAAAUGAUUUAUCGCCGUAGGAUGGGACUGCGGCCUAUCAGUUUGUUGGUGAGGUAAUGGCCCACCAAGACUAUUACAGGUACGGGCUCUGAGAGGAGUAGCCCGGAGAUGGGUACUGAGACACGGACCCAGGCCCUAUGGGGCGCAGCAGGCGAGAAAACUUUGCAAUGUGCGAAAGCACGACAAGGUUAAUCCGAGUGGUUUCUGCUAAAGAAACCUUUUGCCAGUCCUAGAAACACUGGUGAAUAAGGGGUGGGCAAGUUCUGGUGUCAGCCGCCGCGGUAAAACCAGCACCUCAAGUGGUCAGGAUGAUUAUUGGGCCUAAAGCAUCCGUAGCCUGCUUUGUAAGUUUUCGGUUAAAUCCAUACGCUCAACGUAUGGGCUGCCGGGAAUACUGCAUAACUAGGAAGUGGGAGAGGUAGACGGUACUCGGUAGGAAGGGGUAAAAUCCUUUGAUCUAUUGAUGACCACCUGUGGCGAAGGCGGUCUACCAGAACACGUUCGACGGUGAGGGAUGAAAGCUGGGGGAGCAAACCGGAUUAGAUACCCGGGUAGUCCCAGCUGUAAACUAUGCAAACUCAGUGAUGCAUUGGCUUGUGGCCAAUGCAGUGCUGCAGGGAAGCCGUUAAGUUUGCCGCCUGGGAAGUACGUACGCAAGUAUGAAACUUAAAGGAAUUGGCGGGGGAGCACCACAAGGGGUGAAGCCUGCGGUUCAAUUGGAUUCAACGCCGGG
Molecule: ribosomal RNA, 885 nt
Filed under: uncultured archaeon
Lineage: Archaea
Description: bacterial SSU rRNA
Rfam family: Archaeal small subunit ribosomal RNA
Source: RNAcentral